RNAcentral lists this transfer RNA (121 nucleotides) under Micromonospora vinacea. RNAcentral describes it as "tRNA-OTHER". Lineage: Bacteria; Bacillati; Actinomycetota; Actinomycetes; Micromonosporales; Micromonosporaceae. The record is from RNAcentral.
GGCUGGUUUGUGGCAAGGAGGUCGGAACGCCACUUCAGAGCAUCUGAGCCAGAGGAGAUCACGGACGCCCUGUAAAUCCGUCGCGAAAGCUUCAGAGGUUCGAAUCCUCUACCCGCCACCA